This 468-nucleotide ribosomal RNA is filed under the name uncultured bacterium. RNAcentral describes it as "partial 16S ribosomal RNA". It matches the Rfam family "Bacterial small subunit ribosomal RNA", at positions 28 to 507 of the family's 1533-position model. The record is from RNAcentral.
GACGAACGCUGGCGGCGUGCUUAACACAUGCAAGUCGAACGGAAAGGCCCUGCUUUUGUGGGGUGCUCGAGUGGCGAACGGGUGAGUAACACGUGAGUAACCUGCCCUUGACUUUGGGAUAACUUCAGGAAACUGGGGCUAAUACCGGAUAGGAGCUCCUGCUGCCUGGUGGGGGUUGGAAAGUUUCGGCGGUUGGGGAUGGACUCGCGGCUUAUCAGCUUGUUGGUGGGGUAGUGGCUUACCAAGGCUUUGACGGGUAGCCGGCCUGAGAGGGUGACCGGCCACAUUGGGACUGAGAUACGGCCCAGACGCCUACGGGAGGCAGCAGUGGGGAAUAUUGCACAAUGGGCGGAAGCCUGAUGCAGCAACGCCGCGUGCGGGAUGACGGCCUUCGGGUUGUAAACCGCUUUCGCCUGUGACGAAGCGUGAGUGACGGUAAUGGGUAAAGAAGCACCGGCUAACUACGUG